GUAUGCCUUACACAUGCAAGUCGUACGAGAGUUUUUAACUCAAGUGGCGGACGGGUGAGUAACACGUAAGAAUUUGCCUUUAGGAGGGGGACAACAACUGGAAACGGUUGCUAAUACCCCAUAUGCUUUCGAGUGAAAUGGAUUUAUCCGCCUGAAGAGAAGCUUGCGGCUGAUUAGCUUGUUGGUGAGGUAAUGGCUCACCAAGGCGACGAUCAGUAUCUGGUUUGAGAGGACGAUCAGACACACUGGAACUGAGACACGGUCCAGACUCCUACGGGAGGCAGCAGUGGGGAAUUUUCCGCAAUGGGCGAAAGCCUGACGGAGCAAUACCGCGUGAGGGAUGACGGCCUAUGGGUUGUAAACCUCUUUUUUCAGGGAGGAAUCAAUGACGUGUACCUGAAGAAUAAGCAUCGGCCAACUCCGUGCCAGCAGCCGCGGUAAGACGGAGGAUGCAAGUGUUAUCCGGAAUCACUGGGCGUAAAGCGUCUGUAGGUGGUUUAAUAAGUCAACUGUUAAAUCUUGAGGCUCAACUUCAAAAUCGCAGUCGAAACUAUUAGACUAGAGUAUAGUAGGGGUAAAGGGAAUUUCCAGUGGAGCGGUGAAAUGCGUAGAGAUUGGAAAGAACACCGAUGGCGAAGGCACUUUACUGGGCUAUUACUAACACUCAGAGACGAAAGCUAGGGUAGCAAAUGGGAUUAGAUACCCCAGUAGUCCUAGCCGUAAACAAUGGAUACUAGAUGUUGACCAGGUCGACCUGUGCAGUAUUAAAGCUAACGCGUUAAGUAUCCCGCCUGGGAAGUAUGCUCGCAAGAGUGAAACUCAAAGGAAUUGACGGGGGCCCGCACAAGCGGUGGAGCAUGUGGUUUAAUUCGGUGCAACGCGAAGAACCUUACCAGGGUUUGACAUGAUACGAAUUUCUUUGAAAGAAGAAAGUGCCGUUUGGAACGUAUACACAGGUGGUGCAUGGCUGUCGU
RNAcentral lists this ribosomal RNA (974 nucleotides) under uncultured marine eubacterium HstpL35. RNAcentral's name for it is "bacterial SSU rRNA". It matches the Rfam family "Bacterial small subunit ribosomal RNA", at positions 42 to 1055 of the family's 1533-position model. The record is from RNAcentral.